RNAcentral lists this ribosomal RNA (238 nucleotides) under uncultured bacterium. RNAcentral describes it as "partial 16S ribosomal RNA". It matches the Rfam family "Bacterial small subunit ribosomal RNA", at positions 92 to 334 of the family's 1533-position model. The record is from RNAcentral.
CGACCGGCGCACGGGUGCGUAACGCGUAUGCAACCUACCUUUAACAGGGGAUAACACUGAGAAAUUGGUACUAAUACCCCAUAAUAUCAUAGAAGGCAUCUUUUAUGGUUGAAAAUUCCGAUGGUUAGAGAUGGGCAUGCGUUGUAUUAGCUAGUUGUGGGUAACGGCUCACCAAGGCGACGAUACAUAGGGGGACUGAGAGGAAGGUCCCCCACAUUGGAACUGAGACACGGUCCAA